This 439-nucleotide ribosomal RNA is filed under the name Aggregatibacter actinomycetemcomitans. RNAcentral describes it as "bacterial SSU rRNA". It matches the Rfam family "Bacterial small subunit ribosomal RNA", at positions 45 to 473 of the family's 1533-position model. Lineage: Bacteria; Pseudomonadati; Pseudomonadota; Gammaproteobacteria; Pasteurellales; Pasteurellaceae. The record is from RNAcentral.
GGCUUAACACAUGCAAGUCGGACGGUAGCAGGAGAAAGCUUGCUUUCUUGCUGACGAGUGGCGGACGGGUGAGUAAUGCUUGGGAAUCUGUCUUAUGGAGGGGGAUAACGACGGGAAACUGUCGCUAAUACCGCGUAGAGUCGGGAGACGAAAGUGCGGGACUUUAUGGCCGCAUGCCAUGAGAUGAGCCCAAGUGUGAUUAGGUAGUUGGUGGGGUAAAGGCCUACCAAGCCGACGAUCGCUAGCUGGUCUGAGAGGAUGGCCAGCCACACCGGGACUGAGACACGGCCCGGACUCCUACGGGAGGCAGCAGUGGGGAAUAUUGCGCAAUGGGGGCAACCCUGACGCAGCCAUGCCGCGUGAAUGAAGAAGGCCUUCGGGUUGUAAAGUUCUUUCGGUAUUGAGGAAGGWUGGUGUGUUAAUAGCAUGCCAAAUUGAC